GCUAUGCGCAAAAAGUGCAGGAUGAAAACCUGCUGCAGGUUCGACUGAAUCACACAGCGAUUCAGGCUGAUACGCCAGCAUUACCCGAAGGGCGAGGCCCGCCGGGCCGAAGGCAAUCCUGCACGACCCACCA
Non-coding RNA from Pantoea stewartii subsp. stewartii DC283, 133 nucleotides. Lineage: Bacteria; Pseudomonadati; Pseudomonadota; Gammaproteobacteria; Enterobacterales; Erwiniaceae. The record is from Rfam.